GGGAGUAGAACGCAUCUCAGAGCUGUCCCCCUGCCUGGGGCUGGGCUUUGACACAAGGGAAACUCCCCUUUCACCUUUUCUUAGACUCCAUUGUGUUCCAGCCCUUCAGGUCUCUGCUUUCCCUCCUCAGGCCACAUUCCUAACCCUCCAAUUUGCCUACCUCUAACUGUGGUCCUCAUCCUUUGGACUUGAUCACUCAGAAAGCCAUCUGAGCAGCCUUGCUUAUAGAACAAUGGUCAGGUUCAACUCAACCCACAAACCAUGGCUUGCUCCACCUUAUCUGCAGAAUGGGCCCCCAGGUUUUCAGACGACACCCAAGAAAAGGCAAUGCAAGAUCUGGCUCCAUCUACCUUUCUAAUUUAUUCCUCUCCACUUAGUGGAAAAGCCAUUGUACAGAAGACUUGGAGUUGCUCGCUAAGAACAAACACUAAGAGAAGUGCUGCAGCUCGUUUGUAGGAAGACUUGAGCUGCUCUCCUCCAAAUCUCAGCUUCGGCAUUUUACAUUCAAGAGCAACCUGAACAGUGCACUUGAAUCUGGAGACGUCUCCAAGUGCACUGUCUCGUGGGCGACAUCCGAAUGCAUCUUCCAUGACCAGUGUUAUUUCAUGAUAAUGUUCAUGAUGUUAUUUUGUCUCUUUCUGGAGCAUGAAAUAUCAAGUGAUAUUCCAGGGUGAACUGUUGUAAAAUGUAGCUUUUGCCAAAUCAAACUCAGUAAAAUAGUAAUUAAAGAAAACUUGG
This 738-nucleotide long non-coding RNA is filed under the name Rattus norvegicus (Norway rat). RNAcentral's name for it is "long non-coding RNA NONRATT034067". Lineage: Eukaryota; Metazoa; Chordata; Mammalia; Rodentia; Muridae. The record is from RNAcentral.